UGAGGCCGACUGCGGGAGGUAUUAAAGAAAUUUAAUUGAUUUGUUGAGUCGGAGAGAGAAUGUGUGGGGAGGACAGUGUAGAAUAGGAGGGUCUAAAAUAUUUUUCUGGUGUGAAUGGUAUUUCUGCUGGCUGGGGUUAAGUGGGGGGUUGGUGGGUGUUGUGAGUGGGGGGAGGGAGCGACAAAGACUGGGAGUGUGGGUGGAUCGUCUAUUGAAAGGAGGUGUUUUAUACACGACUCGACGUUUCUAAUUACUACGACGUGGAGUUUACUUUACUACUAUUCUUUUGUUCGUUGGGGGAAAGUCUUUUGGGGAGGGAGUUUGCAGUGGAUGAAAAAAACAAUAUUUUUUUAAAAUAAUUGAGUGCAACAAAGAUUUCUUUUAGUAGAAAACAACUUGAAAACUUUCAACAAUGGAUGCGCUUGGUUGCGCGGAGCGAUGAAGAACCGCAGCGAAAUGCGAUGCGUAAUGUGAAUUGCAGAAUUGCGCGUGAAUGCAUGCGAAUGCUUUGAAGCGCACAUUGCGGCGCUGCUGGUAUUGCCGGGGGGCAUGGCUGUUUGAGCGUGCAUUUGCGCUUGCUCAAACAGCAUUGUGUUUGGUAGUGAGUGAUAGCUGCUGCGUUUUUGAGUUAAGCUUGAAAUUGUAGGCGCAUAUGCAGUAUGUGGGAGCGCGAGCGCAAGCUUGCUGCUAUUAAUGGCUGCUGCUGCGUUUGCGCGAGCGGCGGGGGGUUAAUAGCUGUAUUACGUUUUACGCCAGCUGCGGUGUUGAUGCUAGGGGAGGGAUAAAGUGAGUGUUUUGUGCGUGCUGGGCAGAGCGAGCGUGCUUUAAGUUUGACGCUGCAAUGCAGUAGGGUUAGCGCGCUGAAGCUAAGCAUAUGCAUUAAAGGGGCGGAGAGGAAA
Molecule: ribosomal RNA, 899 nt
Filed under: Nakaseomyces glabratus
Lineage: Eukaryota; Fungi; Ascomycota; Saccharomycetes; Saccharomycetales; Saccharomycetaceae
Description: eukaryotic LSU rRNA
Rfam family: 5.8S ribosomal RNA (bases 402-567)
Source: RNAcentral